GCUUCUUUCCUCCCGAGUGCUUGCACUCAAUUGGAAAGAGGAGUGGCGGACGGGUGAGUAACACGUGGGUAACCUACCCAUCAGAGGGGGAUAACACUUGGAAACAGGUGCUAAUACCGCAUAACAGUUUAUGCCGCAUGGCAUAAGAGUGAAAGGCGCUUUCGGGUGUCGCUGAUGGAUGGACCCGCGGUGCAUUAGCUAGUUGGUGAGGUAACGGCUCACCAAGGCCACGAUGCAUAGCCGACCUGAGAGGGUGAUCGGCCACACUGGGACUGAGACACGGCCCAGACUCCUACGGGAGGCAGCAGUAGGGAAUCUUCGGCAAUGGACGAAAGUCUGACCGAGCAACGCCGCGUGAGUGAAGAAGGUUUUCGGAUCGUAAAACUCUGUUGUUAGAGAAGAACAAGGACGUUAGUAACUGAACGUCCCCUGACGGUAUCUAACCAGAAAGCCACGGCUAACUACGUGCCAGCAGCCGCGGUAAUACGUAGGUGGCAAGCGUUGUCCGGAUUUAUUGGGCGUAAAGCGAGCGCAGGCGGUUUCUUAAGUCUGAUGUGAAAGCCCCCGGCUCAACCGGGGAGGGUCAUUGGAAACUGGGAGACUUGAGUGCAGAAGAGGAGAGUGGAAUUCCAUGUGUAGCGGUGAAGUGCGUAGAUAUAUGGAGGAACACCAGUGGCGAAGGCGGCUCUCUGGUCUGUAACUGACGCUGAGGCUCGAAAGCGUGGGGAGCAAACA
Molecule: ribosomal RNA, 735 nt
Filed under: uncultured Enterococcaceae bacterium
Lineage: Bacteria; Bacillati; Bacillota; Bacilli; Lactobacillales; Enterococcaceae
Description: bacterial SSU rRNA
Rfam family: Bacterial small subunit ribosomal RNA
Source: RNAcentral